AAGAGCUGCAGGGGAACUGGGAGAGGGU
This 28-nucleotide non-coding RNA is filed under the name Homo sapiens (human). Lineage: Eukaryota; Metazoa; Chordata; Mammalia; Primates; Hominidae. The record is from RNAcentral.